RNAcentral lists this ribosomal RNA (531 nucleotides) under Penicillium crustosum. Its description in RNAcentral is "eukaryotic LSU rRNA". The stretch from base 207 to 359 matches the Rfam family "5.8S ribosomal RNA". The record is from RNAcentral. Lineage: Eukaryota; Fungi; Ascomycota; Eurotiomycetes; Eurotiales; Aspergillaceae.
UCCGUAGGUGAACCUGCGGAAGGAUCAUUACCGAGUGAGGGCCCUUUGGGUCCAACCUCCCACCCGUGUUUAUUUUACCUUGUUGCUUCGGCGGGCCCGCCUUUACUGGCCGCCGGGGGGCUCACGCCCCCGGGCCCGCGCCCGCCGAAGACACCCCCGAACUCUGUCUGAAGAUUGAAGUCUGAGUGAAAAUAUAAAUUAUUUAAAACUUUCAACAACGGAUCUCUUGGUUCCGGCAUCGAUGAAGAACGCAGCGAAAUGCGAUACGUAAUGUGAAUUGCAAAUUCAGUGAAUCAUCGAGUCUUUGAACGCACAUUGCGCCCCCUGGUAUUCCGGGGGGCAUGCCUGUCCGAGCGUCAUUGCUGCCCUCAAGCCCGGCUUGUGUGUUGGGCCCCGUCCUCCGAUUCCGGGGGACGGGCCCGAAAGGCAGCGGCGGCACCGCGUCCGGUCCUCGAGCGUAUGGGGCUUUGUCACCCGCUCUGUAGGCCCGGCCGGCGCUUGCCGAUCAACCCAAAUUUUUAUCCAGGUGAC